AUGGCUUCUUCCACCGCCGCGCGGCACCCCCCACUUCUUGUUCUGGUGCUGAUCAUCGUCGUUCUUCUGCUGUCCUCCUCCCCUGCCAUCGCGGCGGCGGGGCCCCCGAGCGCAUCGGCGGGGCAGGGCUUCCACGUGGCGACGACGCCAUUGCAUGAUGCAAGCGUGGCCAAGAACGGCGCGGGGAGACGACCGGUCGGCGGGGGAAGGAGGAGGAGAGCAGACCGCGGCGGAGGCACCGGCGCGUGGGCGUUCUCGGCGAUGCUGCCCCGGGGGUUCGUGCCGCCGUCGGGCUCGUCGGCGUGCCACAACGACAUGCCGGCCACCGCCGCCGAUGACCAGUACUACACAUGCGGCGGCUCCGUGAGGCCGUGA
Molecule: ribosomal RNA, 375 nt
Filed under: Triticum aestivum (bread wheat)
Lineage: Eukaryota; Viridiplantae; Streptophyta; Magnoliopsida; Poales; Poaceae
Description: partial small subunit ribosomal RNA
Source: RNAcentral